UCCUACGGGAGGCAGCAGUGGGGAAUAUUGCACAAUGGGGGAAACCCUGAUGCAGCGACGCCGCGUGAGUGAAGAAAUAUCUCGGUACGUAAAGCUCUAUCAGCAGGGAAGAAAAAAAGUCUUUGGCUUUGGACGGUACCUGACUAAGAAGCCCCGGCUAACUACGUGCCAGCAGCCGCGGUAAUACGUAGGGGGCAAGCGUUAUCCGGAUUUACUGGGUGUAAAGGGAGCGUAGACGGCGAUGCAAGUCUGAAGUGAAAGGCGGGGGCCCAACCCCUGGACUGCUUUGGAAACUGUAUGGCUGG
This 305-nucleotide ribosomal RNA is filed under the name uncultured bacterium. Its description in RNAcentral is "bacterial SSU rRNA". It matches the Rfam family "Bacterial small subunit ribosomal RNA", at positions 337 to 644 of the family's 1533-position model. The record is from RNAcentral.